Molecule: ribosomal RNA, 512 nt
Filed under: uncultured bacterium
Lineage: Bacteria
Description: bacterial SSU rRNA
Rfam family: Bacterial small subunit ribosomal RNA
Source: RNAcentral
UAGUCCACGCCGUAAACGAUGUCUACUAGCCGUUGGGAGACUUGAUUUCUUAGUGGCGCAGCUAACGCACUAAGUAGACCGCCUGGGGAGUACGGCCGCAAGGUUAAAACUCAAAUGAAUUGACGGGGGCCCGCACAAGCGGUGGAGCAUGUGGUUUAAUUCGAUGCAACGCGAAGAACCUUACCAGGUCUUGACAUCCUGAAAACUUUCUAGAGAUAGAUUGGUGCCUUCGGGAAUUCAGUGACAGGUGCUGCAUGGCCGUCGUCAGCUCGUGUCGUGAGAUGUUGGGUUAAGUCCCGCAACGAACGCAACCCCUAUCGUUAGUUACCAGCGGGUUAAGCCGGGGACUCUAACGAGACUGCCUGCGCAAGCAGUGAGGAAGGUGGGGACGACGGUCAAGUCAUCAUGGCCCUUACGCCUAGGGCUGCACACGUGCUACAAUGGUCGUGACAAAGAGUUGCUAGUCUGCGAAGGCAAGCCAAUCUCAUAAACGCGGGCCUUAGUUCGGAUUG